This is a long non-coding RNA of Solenopsis invicta (red fire ant), 4154 nucleotides long. RefSeq lists it as uncharacterized. The transcript is spliced from 2 exons. The record is from RefSeq and is a predicted model, not a curated record. NCBI's taxonomy places the organism in Eukaryota, Metazoa, Arthropoda, Insecta, Hymenoptera, Formicidae.
AAAAUAUUUGACAAGCCUUCUCUCUUUUAUGAAAAUGUAACAAUUUAAAAUAAAAUUGCAUAAUUACGUUAUAAAUUAUUAUCAGAGCUGUAAAAAGUUAAUGAAAAAAUUUACAUCAAGGGUAUUCGAUUUUAGAAAAUUCUGAUGCAUAAAACAAAAGAAAACUUGUUAAACUUUUUUCUGUACUACUUAUUUUUUAUUUAUUUUCUAUUUUCCUAAAUGUUGUUUAUAUGAAGUAAAAAUGUAAAAUAUUGAAUAAAUGCGCUUUAGAAGACGCAUUCAGCAACUUUUCUCUACUUCAUAAAUAUUUUUCUAAUCUUUCUUUCACUCGUCGGAACUAAUUGUUUCUGAUUGUAAUGGGUAUAAAUUCAGCGGAAGAUAUUAACAACGCCACGUAACCGUAAUUUGCGGUAUUUUGAAUUAAAUCUUUUGUAAAAUAUCUACGUUGCCGCACUUGUGUUUCAAAUGGAAGAUACAUUGUAAUGUAAACGUCCCAGUUUCCCGCUUCGUCGUCUAUCGACCCCUGGAAAUGCAGUUUCUCCCGCACUCCCGUGGAGUGCUAACUUUAAUUAAGUGCUGAUAAGCGAAAACGCCGUGAAUUUAUUUCAGAUCCAAAGAGAAAUAUUAGAAUUCCGUUACGCUCGGAGCUUUACAUAUCUUGGCGCUAUUUAAGCGCUGUCGAGCUCAUAAUCAACUGUAAACAAUAACAGAUUUAUUGCCGAUAAAGGUAAUAUCUACUAAUUUUCGCACGUUCACGUUAACCGAUAUCAUCAGGAAUUCCACUGCGGUAUCGCCACGUGAUAAUUUUCUACAUUAAUGUAUCCUAUUCACGAUAUUGUCGUAAAUGAAAUUUAUCUUCAUUACUGGCGAACAAUAUAUUAUUUCGUAUUACAUCUGUCCCUGAAUGCGGAGACUUUCAUAAAUUUUUUGGGUGUGUAUCAUAUGUACAUAAAACCAUUUGAAUGUUAAUAAGUAUUUUCUUAAGAGUAAAUGUUGCGUAAUAAUUGCACAAACAUGCCAGUUGGAAAGAUGAGAUACAGAGAGAGAGAGAGAGAGAGAGAGAGAGAGAGAGAGAGAGAGAAAGAGAGUCAAAAAAUGUAUUAUAUUCAACAUACAGAGUAAUGGUUUUUACCGAACUACGUGCUUGCGACGUUUUUCCGAUGGUGGGUUCAAUUAUCUAUUGGUCUGCUUCAUUAAUUUCCAGGGGACCAUUAAAGUAAUUAUUGCGACCCAAUAAUAUUCACCCGACACUCAUUCAUUCCAUACAGUUAAUUAGUGCAGUAAUUACAUUACAUACGCACGUGUAUUAAAGUUAAAACAACGCUAUCACCUAAACGAAGAUCUAUAUUUAUUCGUGACGAUGGUGGCGUGAAAUUAUCAGAAUGAAGAAUAAUUAAUUACCUACAUUAAUUAUCUCUUUCCGCUUGCGAAAUUAUUUUUUUUUCAUAAUCCAGAGGGCAGAAUAAAAUUACAUUUGCAAAAAUAUAUUUAUAGCGAUUAAACUUUACAUAUCCGAUAAUCCAUUUGCCGCAAAAUUAUAUUGCGCACAUCUCAUCAUUUAAUUAAAAAAAUAAAAGUUACAAAUUUAUUUUCUGUAUAUAAAUAGUAAUUUGAUAAAAAAUUGCUUGUCGUUAUUAACGCCGACACGUUACUUUUACACAAUUUUAUCUUUCCUAUUUUUCGCGUCACUACAGAUAUUAUGGUCCCUUUUUGCUCUCAUGACUCUUCUGAAAACGUAUAUUUCGCGCGUUACAUAAUUUAUAUACGCAUUUUUCUCGUUGCAAAGGCAAAUAUCGUUCUUCCCUAAGACAUCCUCAGCAGCACGUGCAAUUAUCCAAGUUUUCGGAUCGCUUGAUUUAACUAUUUUUAUUGAGAGAUGCGCAAACGGGGGAAAAAAAUAUAUAUAUAGUACGCCAAGAGACUGAAUUUUUCAUGAGUCGUCCCUACGUACGAGGAUUACAAAUUGGAAAAAAUUGUGUCCAUAGUUGUGGACGUUGUAGAGGCAAAAAGAUUAAACUAGCAAGGUAGCGAGGGGAAUAAUUAACCAGUCGUCCGUCGGUCGGACGGAAGCGGACAUUUUUCAUCUGACCGCGGCGAAUUGCAUUACUCGAUGCCGCAUUAAUUAGUCGCGCCGCGACGGUGACGUGAUUGCGCAUGUCGAAUCCGCGCGCAUCGGCCGAUAGACAGAUAGAAAAUCGUAUCUGGGCCGCGGGAACGCGGACGUGGACGCGAGCCCCUUGUAAAAUGUAAAUUCUCCGCGAUUAACUCGAUUAAUCCCCCGCAGCACCGAUCGCGUCUCGAUAGCGUUGUUUUCGCGCAGUCGAGAUGCAUCGGCGCGAUGGCAUCGGGGGCACGGCACGGGGAUAGUAGAUCCACGGAUUUCGCUUGUUUCUCUAAGCCCAUUAAAGCAGGGGUUCGCAAAACCCGUCCGUCAGACUGUUUAUAUUCCAAACCACCGGGUAACCGUUGACUUUCAAAGAAAAACACGCGCGAAACUGGAGCGCAACGAAUGUUUGAGAAUCUUAAAUUGAAAAAAAGGAGCCUGAUAAUCUAACGAGAUCCUCUUUGGAGAAUAAAAGACGAGAGAGGACGAAAUUUCUGGCAGCUGCGCUUAACGAUAUGUUCACACUCAUUUUAACGUUUUUUUUUUUUUUUUGGAGUUUUCGAUAAAAUAUUCCCUUCGUACCGUUUUUCCUUCGCUCAAAGUAUCCUCAAUCCUCACUCGCGAAUAGCCCCCGUCGUCGUUGAAAUCCAAUGCGGCUCGGCUUACUCGCUGCCUCACGAGGCUCUACCUUCGAAUGGGUUGAAGAGGCAGCCAAAGAGAGGAUUGAGGGAAGAGAGAGAGAGGGAGGGGGUUUCGCGAAUCCUCUCUGAACAAUUGAACGAUUAUCGGGAGAUUUGCUGCCGUUCAGCCGCGAUUCCGAAAGAUGAUGGCCUCGUGUCUACUCCAUCUUGUGAAUUAUUCAACGGUUCUGGAACGAAAUUUUAUCUAUCCUCGCCCUUCUCCCAUCUCCAGCUUAUGUAAUUUCCUUCUGUUCGCGAACGACGACACGUUGUUAUCGAAUGCGAUUUCAUGUUUAUGCGAAACGAAACGUCGGGAACGAAUUAUCGGCGCAAGCUGGUGAGAAAAGAGAUAAGGGUGCAUUUUGCCUUUGGUACAUAAAUGAAGUAGCGUCGUUCCUGGCUAUCAUUUUUAUAAUGUCAUUUAUUAUUUUGACAACGAAUCGAUCUGAGAGCGUGUAAUUACCGGUGAGACCGUUGUGAUCCGUGCAGUUGAUGCAGUUGAAAGAGCGCUCGAAAUGUUUAUCCGAAAUUCGACGCGAUGCCAUGCCGCGUGUCGCCGGCGUUCAUAGUUUCAAAUGUCGAAUCGGUCAUUCGGGAACUAUUUACAUUGGGCGAUACGGAUCUUUUGUUCCCGCGUUUGAUCGCCCUCGAAAAAGCGUGACGCGCUUAGAUAUUCGAUACCAAACAUUGCAGUUGAAAUUUAUUCAACCUUUGCGGUUAAAAAAAGGAUAUUAAUACGUAAGGAUGUUUUGUGGUGGGUCUUGUACAAUCACGCUGCACGUAGAAAUUUGAAAGCACCAAAAUACUUUCGAGCAAAAGCGAAUAAAAUGGGAUGCUUAGUGGCCACUUUGCGUUCGAAAUUUUUGUUGGUUUUUCGGUAAAUUUCGGUUACUGGCCGGCCCCGAUCGUUUUACACGUACAAAACGAAAAUCCGCUGGAGGCGUUAUAAAGUGAAGGGGUUUACGAGAUCGCAUAAACGAUCGACGCGAUGCGACGCGGCAUCGGAUCCGCGAGAACUUCCCGUCAUCUCUUUCGCCGGUUAUUACCCGAUAAACUCCGAUAAAUUUUACGAUCGAUUCCCGAACGUCAGCCCGAGUUCAACGUCGGUAACCGAACGAGAGAGAGACAGAUAUUUUACUUUCUCUCUCGUGAAUCUUCAACUCGCGGGUCUUUCUAAUCGAAUUUUAUGCAAAGGAUCGGUCCUUCUUUCGCGGAUGUAACAAUGAAAAAAUUUCAUCUUAAAAUAACACUUGAAUGAAAAUGUCUCGGAUAAUUACAAGACUCUAUAUUGAAAAAAGUUUUUUAUGUUCAAAUAAAUAUAUUUAUUUUCUUGAUUUGAAUUAAUAUUAGCUAAUAAGUUAUUAAAAUAA